Molecule: ribosomal RNA, 945 nt
Filed under: Klebsiella oxytoca
Lineage: Bacteria; Pseudomonadati; Pseudomonadota; Gammaproteobacteria; Enterobacterales; Enterobacteriaceae
Description: bacterial SSU rRNA
Rfam family: Bacterial small subunit ribosomal RNA
Source: RNAcentral
AGGGGGCNGCUACACAUGCAGUCGAACGGUAGCACAGAGAGCUUGCUCUCGGGUGACGAGUGGCGGACGGGUGAGUAAUGUCUGGGAAACUGCCUGAUGGAGGGGGAUAACUACUGGAAACGGUAGCUAAUACCGCAUAACGUCGCAAGACCAAAGAGGGGGACCUUCGGGCCUCUUGCCAUCAGAUGUGCCCAGAUGGGAUUAGCUAGUAGGUGGGGUAACGGCUCACCUAGGCGACGAUCCCUAGCUGGUCUGAGAGGAUGACCAGCCACACUGGAACUGAGACACGGUCCAGACUCCUACGGGAGGCAGCAGUGGGGAAUAUUGCACAAUGGGCGCAAGCCUGAUGCAGCCAUGCCGCGUGUAUGAAGAAGGCCUUCGGGUUGUAAAGUACUUUCAGCGGGGAGGAAGGGAAUAAGGUUAAUAACCUUAUUCAUUGACGUUACCCGCAGAAGAAGCACCGGCUAACUCCGUGCCAGCAGCCGCGGUAAUACGGAGGGUGCAAGCGUUAAUCGGAAUUACUGGGCGUAAAGCGCACGCAGGCGGUCUGUCAAGUCGGAUGUGAAAUCCCCGGGCUCAACCUGGGAACUGCAUUCGAAACUGGCAGGCUGGAGUCUUGUAGAGGGGGGUAGAAUUCCAGGUGUAGCGGUGAAAUGCGUAGAGAUCUGGAGGAAUACCGGUGGCGAAGGCGGCCCCCUGGACAAAGACUGACGCUCAGGUGCGAAAGCGUGGGGAGCAAACAGGAUUAGAUACCUGGUAGUCCACGCUGUAAACGAUGUCGACUUGGAGGUUGUUCCCUUGAGGAGUGGCUUCCGGAGCUAACGCGUUAAGUCGACCGCCUGGGGAGUACGGCCGCAAGGUUAAAACUCAAAUGAAUUGACGGGGCCCGCACAAGCGGUGGAGCAUGUGGUUUAAUUCGAUGCAACGCGAAGAACCUUACCUACU